AUGGCUCAGGAUGAACGCUAGCUACAGGCUUAACACAUGCAAGUCGAGGGGCAUCAUGGAGUUGCUUGCAAACUCUGAUGGCGACCGGCGCACGGGUGAGUAACGCGUAUCCAACCUUCCCUAUAGUAGAGGAUAGCCCGGCGAAAGUCGGAUUAAUACUCUAUGUUUUCCGUUGCAGACAUCUAAGAUGGAACAAAGGCUUGCCGCUAUAGGAUGGGGAUGCGUCUGAUUAGGUAGUCGGCGGGGUAACGGCCCACCGAGCCAUCGAUCAGUAGGGUUCUGAGAGGAAGGUCCCCCACAUUGGAACUGAGACACGGUCCAAACUCCUACGGGAGGCAGCAGUGAGGAAUAUUGGUCAAUGGGCGAGAGCCUGAACCAGCCAAGUAGCGUGCAGGACGACGGCCCUAUGGGUUGUAAACUGCUUUUAUGCGGGGAUAAAGUUCACUACGUGUAGUGUUUUGUAGGUACCGCAUGAAUAAGGACCGGCUAAUUCCGUGCCAGCCGCUGC
Molecule: ribosomal RNA, 508 nt
Filed under: uncultured bacterium
Lineage: Bacteria
Description: bacterial SSU rRNA
Rfam family: Bacterial small subunit ribosomal RNA
Source: RNAcentral